AUGAAAAUUGUACCUUACAGAAAAAGAUUUGGUUGCAAGAAAAAUGACAAGGAUAACUGGGGUAUUGCAGGGGACACUAACGAGGUGGCGACCCUGAAGGAGGCGGUGGCCGCGGCCGAACGCAAUGCGGCAGCGGAGAGCACCGAGCGAGAGAAACAGGAGGCGCGGGUGGCGGAGGUACAACAAGAGCUCCGGGAUCUCGUGAAGAAACACGAGAGCCUGGAGCGUGACUCGAAGACUCGAGAGUCUGAGCUUGCAACGGCUCUUGAGAGUGCCAAAGCCGCUAAGGCCGAAGCCUACAAGGCCCUCCAGGAGAUAGAGGUGGUGAAGAAAAUAGCAGCGGGUAAGGCAUUUUUCAUGCAAAGUAAGCAUGUGAGUGUUAAUUACCUGUCGCUUACCCGAAUUCGGAGCUCUCAGGAGCGUUCGCAGAUCUUCCCCGUAGCGUGUCCGAUGCUGCCGCAUUCUACCAGGCCGAGGAGGGGAGCUCAACGGAGAAGGUCUUCUGGUCUCAGUAUACUGAGGCCGGACAUCCGGUGCCCCUUAGUGACCAGCUGA
This 555-nucleotide ribosomal RNA is filed under the name Triticum aestivum (bread wheat). RNAcentral's name for it is "partial small subunit ribosomal RNA". Lineage: Eukaryota; Viridiplantae; Streptophyta; Magnoliopsida; Poales; Poaceae. The record is from RNAcentral.